GGAGGGAUGCGAGAGCGGCCGAAUCGGACGGUCUCGAAAACCGUUGUGGGUCCUGCCCACCGUGGGUUCGAAUCCCACUCCCUCCGCCA
RNAcentral lists this transfer RNA (89 nucleotides) under Acidimicrobiales bacterium. RNAcentral describes it as "tRNA-Ser". It matches the Rfam family "tRNA". Rfam says of the family: Transfer RNA (tRNA) molecules are approximately 80 nucleotides in length. Their secondary structure includes four short double-helical elements and three loops (D, anti-codon, and T loops). Further hydrogen bonds mediate the characteristic L-shaped molecular structure. tRNAs have two regions of fundamental functional importance: the anti-codon, which is responsible for specific mRNA codon recognition, and the 3' end, to which the tRNAs corresponding amino acid is attached (by aminoacyl-tRNA synthetases). tRNAs cope with the degeneracy of the genetic code in two manners: having more than one tRNA (with a specific anti-codon) for a particular amino acid; and 'wobble' base-pairing, i.e. permitting non-standard base-pairing at the 3rd anti-codon position. RNAcentral also lists the same sequence under 3 other names. Lineage: Bacteria; Bacillati; Actinomycetota; Acidimicrobiia; Acidimicrobiales. The record is from RNAcentral.